GCAUAUCAAUAAGCGGAGGAAAAGAAACCAACAGGGAUUACCUCAGUAACGGCGAGUGAAGCGGUAACAGCUCAAAUUUGAAAGCUGGCUCUUUUAGGGUCCGCGUUGUAAUUUGUAGAAGAUGCUUCGGGUGUGGCCCCGGUCUAAGUUCCUUGGAACAGGACGUCAUAGAGGGUGAGAAUCCCGUAUGUGACUGGGUGCUUUCGCUCAUGUGAAGCUCUUUCGACGAGUCGAGUUGUUUGGGAAUGCAGCUCAAAAUGGGUGGUAAAUUUCAUCUAAAGCUAAAUAUUGGCCAGAGACCGAUAGCGCACAAGUAGAGUGAUCGAAAGAUGAAAAGCACUUUGGAAAGAGAGUUAAACAGUACGUGAAAUUGUUGAAAGGGAAGCGCUUGCAACCAGACUUGCGCGCUGAUGAUCAUCCGGGCUUCUGCCCGGUGCACUCGUCUGCGCUCAGGCCAGCAUCGGUUUCGGUGGUGGGAUAAAGGCCUUGGGAAUGUAGCUCCCCUCGGGGAGUGUUAUAGCCCUCGGUGCAAUGCCGCCUACCGGGACCGAGGACCGCGCUUCGGCUAGGAUGCUGGCGUAAUGGUUGUAAGCGACCCGUCUUGAAACACGGACCAAGGAGUCUAACAUCUAUGCGAGUGUUUGGGUGUCAAACCCAUACGCGUAAUGAAAGUGAACGGAGGUGAGAACCCUUAAGGGUGCAUCAUCGACCGAUCCUGAUGUCUUCGGAUGGAUUUGAGUAAGAGCAUAGCUGUUGGGACCCGAAAGAUGGUGAACUAUGCGUGAAUAGGGUGAAGCCAGAGGAAACUCUGGUGGAGGCUCGCAGCGGUUCUGACGUGCAAAUCGAUCGUCAAAUUUGCGUAUAGGGGCGAAAGACUAAUCGAACCAUCUAGUAGCUGGUUCCUGCCGA
This 909-nucleotide ribosomal RNA is filed under the name Mastigosporium rubricosum. RNAcentral describes it as "LSU rRNA". It matches the Rfam family "Eukaryotic large subunit ribosomal RNA", at positions 38 to 964 of the family's 3401-position model. Lineage: Eukaryota; Fungi; Ascomycota; Leotiomycetes; Helotiales. The record is from RNAcentral.